CGGACGGGUGAGUAACGCGUGGGUAACCUGCCUUGUACUGGGGGACAACAGUUGGAAACGACUGCUAAUACCGCAUAAGCGCACAGCUUCGCAUGAAGCAGUGUGAAAAACUCCGGUGGUACAAGAUGGACCCGCGUCUGAUUAGCUGGUUGGUGAGGUAACGGCCCACCAAGGCAACGAUCAGUAGCCGGCCUGAGAGGGUGAACGGCCACAUUGGGACUGAGACACGGCCCAGACUCCUACGGGAGGCAGCAUG
RNAcentral lists this ribosomal RNA (256 nucleotides) under uncultured bacterium. Its description in RNAcentral is "partial 16S ribosomal RNA". It matches the Rfam family "Bacterial small subunit ribosomal RNA", at positions 99 to 353 of the family's 1533-position model. The record is from RNAcentral.